AUUGAACGCUGGCGGCAGGCUUAACACAUGCAAGUCGAGCGGGGUGAUGGUGCUUGCACUAUCACUUAGCGGCGGACGGGUGAGUAAUGCUUAGGAAUCUGCCUAUUAGUGGGGGACAACAUCUCGAAAGGGAUGCUAAUACCGCAUACGUCCUACGGGAGAAAGCAGGGGAUCACUUGUGACCUUGCGCUAAUAGAUGAGCCUAAGUCGGAUUAGCUAGUUGGUGGGGUAAAGGCCUACCAAGGCGACGAUCUGUAGCGGGUCUGAGAGGAUGAUCCGCCACACUGGGACUGGGAAACGGCCCAGACUCCUACGGGAGGCAGCAGUGGGGAAUAUUGGACAAUGGGGGGAACCCUGAGCCAGCCAUGCCGCGUGUGUGAAGAAGGCCUUAUGGUUGUAAAGCACUUUAAGCGAGGAGGAGGCUCUUUUGGUUAAUACCCAAGAUGAGUGGACGUUACUCGCAGAAUAAGCACCGGCUAACUCUGUGCCAGCCGCCGCCGUAA
RNAcentral lists this ribosomal RNA (503 nucleotides) under uncultured bacterium. Its description in RNAcentral is "partial 16S ribosomal RNA". It matches the Rfam family "Bacterial small subunit ribosomal RNA", at positions 30 to 523 of the family's 1533-position model. The record is from RNAcentral.